AGUGAACGCUGGCGGUAGGCCUAACACAUGCAAGUCGAACGGCAGCACAGUAAGAGCUUGCUCUUACGGGUGGCGAGUAGCGGACGGGUGAGGAAUACAUCGGAAUCUACUUUUUCGUGGGGGAUAACGUAGGGAAACUUACGCUAAUACCGCAUACGACCUACGGGUGAAAGCAGGGGAUCUUCGGACCUUGCGCGAUUGAAUGAGCCGAUGUCGGAUUAGCUAGUUGGCGGGGUAAAGGCCCACCAAGGCGACGAUCCGUAGCUGGUCUGAGAGGAUGAUCAGCCACACUGGAACUGAGACACGGUCCAGACUCCUACGGGAGGCAGCAGUGGGGAAUAUUGGACAAUGGGCGCAAGCCUGAUCCAGCCAUACCGCGUGGGUGAAGAAGGCCUUCGGGUUGUAAAGCCCUUUUGUUGGGAAAGAAAAGCAGCAGGUUAAUACCCCGCUGUUCUGACGGUACCCAAAGAAUAAGCACCGGCUAACUUCGU
Molecule: ribosomal RNA, 491 nt
Filed under: uncultured bacterium
Lineage: Bacteria
Description: partial 16S ribosomal RNA
Rfam family: Bacterial small subunit ribosomal RNA
Source: RNAcentral